Molecule: ribosomal RNA, 1591 nt
Filed under: Triticum aestivum (bread wheat)
Lineage: Eukaryota; Viridiplantae; Streptophyta; Magnoliopsida; Poales; Poaceae
Description: partial small subunit ribosomal RNA
Source: RNAcentral
CUUUUCUCCUAUGGGCCAUCCGCCUUCUCAGGGCCGAGACACUGGCCCUCUCCAUCACACGCACCAAGCUCUGUCUUCUCUUCCUUGGAUUCCUCUCCUCAUCCACACAGCCCCCAUUCCCCUCCCACCCCUCUCCCUGUCCACCCCUGCCUCUCUCCACUCUCUCUCCUUAUCUGCUUACAGCUCCUUCAAGUUCGAUGCUGCUCCAACCGCACCAGAUCCCUGGAUAGCCACAUCCUCCGACGAGUCUCCGCAGUGCUAUGCUAUUUCCCAGGUUUUCGGUCUAUUUGAGUGUUCCACAAAGCCGGCCAGGAGAUACUAGAAGCACGGCCCCGGAGUGAAGAUAAAAAACAAACCAGUUCGUUGGUGGAUUCAAUCUUGGUGAAGUUUUCCUUAUGGAGGAAACCAAAUGCUGGCCUCUAUGAUCUGUUGCACAUACUGAUCUGUCCCAAGGUCUCUUCUAAAAAGUUGAGCACACCAUGGAAGCUGAAAACAUAAAGCUUGAUGAUGAUGUUGUUGUGCCUGGUACGCUUGAUGAAGACGACGCCAGUCAAAAUAAUAUAAUACCAUUGUCCUAUGCUGGCAAGACUCGUUGUAUGACUCACUCCUAUCGUGAUGGAAUGGUUGGUUCCCAUGUCCACACCUCACCUGAUAUAAUCACCAGCUUCACAUGUAACCCAAAGUGGGCUCAAAUAACAAAGACGCUUAAGCCUGAACAACAGCAAGUCAAUAAGGCUGCUGAGACUGAUCGUAUCUAUCGCAUGAAGCUGCAUGAGUAUCUGCAAAAGAUCAAUGAAGGGAAGAUAUUUGGGCCUGUUAUCUCUGGUAAUGUGGCUGAUGAUAUAUCUCUGAUUUCUUCAUUUUCCUUUGACAUGCACGGCCAAUCUCCUCUUUUACAGUUAUCCACGACAUCGAAUUUUUAAAAAAAGGGCUACCGCAUGCCCGGGUCCUUGUUUGGCAGAAGAAAAAACAUAACAAAGUGGUCAUCCCAGCUUUCAUGAAAACCUUUGCUUCAGCCACUGUUGGGAUCUGAACUUACUGAUACUAUUGGCGAUGUUCCUGGGUAUGGUCAGAUGCCUAAGCUAGAAAGAGAUGAGCCGGCUGUUGCAGCGUAUGAUUCAUCAGGCACAUUAGAGUCGAGCUGAACCCAACUUUCAAAUGAGCAUAAGAAAGCGAUGAUUUUGUGCAUGGAGUCUUGCUGCCUUGAUCAUUGGUACCUCGGCCCUCGCUAUCUUCACCCCACGACAAGUAACAAUUACCUUUUGAACAACAGCCAACCUUUGGCCUCGUGAAGAGACACGAAAGCUCUCUUCGAUCAAUUCCUUGUUUAAGAUCUGUAUUAGACUACUUCCAAGCCUUGUACAAAUCACCACGACUCUCCCUGCUUCCCCUGUCUCCUCAGUAACUGUUUGUAUCCAUUGUAAAUGCUCAUUCAGCCAUGUUGCCGGACAUAUAUGUUAUAACCACUGCCAUGCUAAGUAUUCUCUGCUUUAUAUCUGUGUGCUCAACCUUCUCAGUUUUUUAUUAAAUCUUAAACUGUAAUCACUGACCUUUGUACAGUUUAUUAAUUAAGAGUGAAACUCCGUUAGCA